RNAcentral lists this ribosomal RNA (531 nucleotides) under Triticum aestivum (bread wheat). RNAcentral's name for it is "partial small subunit ribosomal RNA". Lineage: Eukaryota; Viridiplantae; Streptophyta; Magnoliopsida; Poales; Poaceae. The record is from RNAcentral.
AGAAAACAUGUUGUGUUUGCACCUGGAGAUCUUGUUUGGUUACAUUUGCGUAAGGAUAGAUUUCCUGAUUUGCACAAAUCAAAGCUAAUGCCACGUGCUGAUGGUCCCUUUAAGGUGUUAGAGAAAAUAAAUGAUAAUGCAUAUAAACUUGAGCUGCCUGCAGAUUUUGGGGUUAGUCCCACUUUUAACAUUGCAGAUUUGAAGCCUUAUUUGGGUGAGGAAGAUGAGUUUCCGUCGAGGACGACUUCAUUUCAAGAAGGGGAGGAUGAUGAGGACAUCAAUACCAUUGUUACACCCACAACCCCUACUGCUACAUAUACGGGACCAAUUACUAGAGCUCGCGCACGCCAAUUAAAUUAUCAGGUACUUUCAUUUCUUGGUAAUGAUUCUAAUGUUCAUGAGAAUAUGAUGCUGCCUAAAUUGGAUACAUUUGUUUUGCUGACAAAUGAAGGGCCUAGCUUGGAGAAGGAUGAACAUUGGAGCAAGAACAAGCAUGGAGAUGAUGCCAUGCGCAAGGGGAACAAGAACGGA